CGAGUCAGCCAGCGCCCGCAGCAAUUCCCCACGCCCCCUCCCCAUGCCCUCCACCUCAUCUCUUGACGCCGCCAGAGGGAGCUUCUCCCAUGCCCUCCUCAUCUCUUACCACCGGCUGGAGGGAGCUCCGCCGCUCUCCUUCAGUACACCGCUCCUCUUUCCCCAAGGCGACGAAAAUCACAAAACGGGGGCACACCAUAUGGCCAGGGGCUCCUACAUCGCUGCUUGGGUCAUCGGUGGCGGUGCUGGCAUUGAAGGAUGGGGCGGCAAUGCCAUUGUAGUCUUGGAAAAGCAGCUCGGGCAGAGGAAGAGGACGCGCCCGGCAUAGGAGGAGGUUGGGCGGGAGACGAUUGUUCUGCUGCAGGUACGUGAAUAGGGUGUCCAGGUUGACACGCUGGCCUCCUCUAGCAGCCCCUCUGCCCCGCGCCAGCUCUUGCCCCUCGCUUGCCACCUCCUGCGACACUGGUGUUCAGCUCGCAUGCGAGGUGUUCUAGCAAUUGACCAAACCGAGCCAAGCCUAAGCAUGAACGAUGGUCACGUACUUUUCUUCGUCAAGUAGUCCAGUACUGCACCAGAAGCGACGUCGGCCGAACAGGCGGAGAGGAAGAGGCCACAGAAGGAUUCUUGCAUCCAAAUGUGAGUUUCAGGUUCACGGUCUGGAUGGUGGAUUCGUUCUUCGAUGGCCAGACCAUCCAUGUCAAGCAGCGGCAUGAGAAGAGCUCCGGCGAGCUCAUCAUGUGCCGGUGCAUCUCACCUUCAAGCACAUGCUGCAGACUCCGACUGUUCUUUCUUUGCUGGAUGUUCGGCCCGCUGAUGCUGCAUGGAAGCAUUCAAAGUGAAAAAAAAUCUUCAUAUACCUUCCUGUGUGGGAGUAUUAUGCCGAGCCUCCCCAGCAAGGUUUUCAAUAUUAAGGGGGAAAUUUGAAGGUGUAUAAGGGAUGGGUUCAAGCGGUGCUGGGACAUGUAUAGAGAAGGAGCUCAUUAUAUAUGGAGACAAGUUUUGAAUUGGGGCGUGUUGCUUCCUACCUGAUGGUGUAGACGUUAGAUGAGGGAUCUACAUAUAAGUAGAAUGUCACAUAUAUGGAUGUUGUAUCUUGGACGAUUCAUAGAAAAGAAGCCAAAGAACGAUUCAUCA
Molecule: RNA transcript, 1134 nt
Organism: Triticum aestivum (bread wheat)
Lineage: Eukaryota; Viridiplantae; Streptophyta; Magnoliopsida; Poales; Poaceae
Exons: 5
Source: RefSeq, a predicted model, not a curated record